CAUGGUAGUGGCUGCAGGUCAGUUGUUAUAGCUCUUCUGCAGAAAGUGGUAGGGUUCAAGUCCAUUUCUUAUUCUAGGACUCAGGCUAGCAGAUAAGGAACCAUUGGGGCAUGACUCCUCAGAGCAGAGGACACAGGAGCAAGAAACCAAACUGAACCAAGCAAUCACAUUUAAAUUUUUUUCUUGGAUGACUUAUGCCAUAUUUGCUCAUGUUCCACUGGCCAAAGCAAGUCAAAUGGCCAAACUCAACAUCUAUGGUGUAUGCAAAGAUACUUCACUACGGGCAGAGAGCGCACAGGUCAAGAAGACCUUCAUCUGAUGAAGAUGCUCCUUGCCAAACCAGUACCUUUCUCCAUGGGGCUAGGUGGCUGCAGUCCUAGCCAGGGUCAACUCUUGUUUAUGGAGAAUGGAAAACAGUGGACAGAAGAAGAUUAUCUGCAGAGGUGGAAUGGUGGAUUGCUUCUUCUCUGGGGCCACAUGAGAAGGCAAUUCCUGAGAGAGCAAUCAGACCAGAACAAAGUGCAUUCACCUUCUUGUUAACUGAUCAACAUCUGUUUCCAGAUGUUUCCCUGUGCUGGUUAUAUAGUUUGUGCUCAUUCACAUGCAAAGCCUCUCUCCGUGUAGCUCAGCAGAUGCCAUCAACAGCUCCUCAGUUUGGUAGGGAUAGGCUCUGUCUGCAACAGUCUCAUAACUGCAACCUAGCAAUGCUGGCACCAAAGUCAGAGCUCGGAACUCACUGCAAAAGGCACCCCCUCGGUGCACAGAUGAUGCAGCGGAUCAGUGUCUUUCUCACCAUGGUGACAGCAGUUGACAUGGAAACAGUUGUUCUCGCUUAUAUACAUAAUCAUUGCCCCUCACUCAGGCUUGCCAAAUGUUGAAAAUAUCUGUCUGCCCAGCAUUCAUUUCUUCCAUCUCUAGGAAAUGCACCAAGAUUAUCUUUUGGGAAAUCAUCUGGACUGAACAUCCAAACCAUUUGUUUUGGAUAUUAUUUGUCCAAACUCAGCAUGUGACCAAUACCUGGUAAAACUGAGCCAUAGGAAUGUGUAACCAAGCCAUUCUGAGCCCAUGAGUGUCAGGUCCAGAUUUUGCUAGAACGAUUGGGAAAGUGACAGGGUUUUGCCUGACAUUAUAUGCUGAUGGAAAAGAAGCCUGUGGCGGCUGGAAGCUGUCUGUACCACCAGCUGUGUAGAACAUGCUUGAAAAUAAAGAAAAUUUAGAGGAAAAAAAGAGCUGAGGA
RNAcentral lists this long non-coding RNA (1237 nucleotides) under Felis catus (domestic cat). RNAcentral's name for it is "lncRNA (ENSFCAG00000040745.2)". Lineage: Eukaryota; Metazoa; Chordata; Mammalia; Carnivora; Felidae. The record is from RNAcentral.